UACGAGAGGUGCAAGCGUUGUUCGGAGUGACUGGGCGUAAAGAGCACGUAGACGGGUAUGUAAGUCGGAUGUGAAAUCCCCGAGCUUAACUUGGGAACUGCAUCCGAAACUGUGUAUCUUGAAUGCUUCAAGGGUUGGUGGAAUUCCAGGUGUAGGAGUGAAAUCCGUAGAGAUCUGGAGGAACAUCGGAGGCGAAGGCGGCCAACUGGGGAUGCAUUGACGUUGAGGUGCGAAAGCGUGGGGAGCAAACAGG
RNAcentral lists this ribosomal RNA (253 nucleotides) under uncultured bacterium. Its description in RNAcentral is "partial 16S ribosomal RNA". It matches the Rfam family "Bacterial small subunit ribosomal RNA", at positions 524 to 776 of the family's 1533-position model. The record is from RNAcentral.